UACAUUCAACUUUGCUAAUUCAAUAAAAGAAUUUACUUUUAAUUUACAAACAAAUCCUAUUUAUUUCUCUUUCUUAAGAAACCUAAAAUAUGUGGCUAACUUAGUCUUUCACAUAAUUUAAACCUUGACCUGAGAUUAUUAAAAUAAUUAAAAGAAAAAAUAACUAAAAUUGAUCUUUUACGGAGGUAUAUAAAAUAAUAGUUAAAGAGAAAUUAAACGAGGAUUAUCGAUUAAUAAACAAGCCCCUCUGAUAAGAGGUUAAACCGCCAAAAAAGUUAGGUUUUAUGGUUAACAUUUAAUACCUAGAAGAAUUAAUAAAAGGGUAUCUAAUCCUUUUUUUAUGAAAAUGUCAAAAGAAAAAACUUAGUAUAAAGGUAAAAAGAAAGAUUUCACCCUACUUUUUACUCAAAAAAAAACAAAACUUUUCUAAAUAAAAUAUUUUUAAAAAUAAUCGUAUA
RNAcentral lists this ribosomal RNA (458 nucleotides) under Hygrobates sp. T65. RNAcentral's name for it is "partial small subunit ribosomal RNA". Lineage: Eukaryota; Metazoa; Arthropoda; Arachnida; Trombidiformes; Hygrobatidae. RNAcentral also lists the same sequence under 2 other names. The record is from RNAcentral.